GAAAAAAAAAAACCCUCCUUAACCUUGUUCAUCUUUUCUUGCAACAUAACAUUGCCGUUGUAGCAAACUUAAGGUGGAAAUGAAUAGAAAUUUUGAAUCAUACAGAAAUGGAUUCUUUCGUAUUUGAAACCAAGGGAAGAGGAAGGGGGGGAGAAGAGACUUGAAAAGAAAAUACAUAAUAGUGCAAUUACUCCUACAACCAUGUGCAGGCCUAUGGUUUUUCAAUGACAGCCUAUUACACUAAGAAAACAAAAUGAACUACAAACCAAUAUGUCAUAUGCUAGGAGUAUCUUCUUCUACGCUAACAAAUCUAGGUUUAUUCAGCCAAUAGCAAAGAUAACAAAUAGUAUAGAACUUACUGAUUCAAGUUAAUAUCUUCCGCAAAUGAAUUUUGUUGUCCAAUCUUGUCAUCAUAACAU
This 419-nucleotide unclassified non-coding RNA is filed under the name Hevea brasiliensis (rubber tree). Lineage: Eukaryota; Viridiplantae; Streptophyta; Magnoliopsida; Malpighiales; Euphorbiaceae. The record is from RNAcentral.